UUUCAGCUUCUUUCCUCAGGACGGAGGUUUCUAUCUCCAAGAUGCAGAUCGUGUUGCUGUUACUGAAUUAAAUAAGAACUGUUUUUGUUUUUGAUUCGAAACGUUAAAUUACUAUAUAUGUGCUAGAGUGAGGUUUAUAUUUAUUAGGUAUGUGUGUUUUUGAAGGGAUGCCAAAUGCUAUUAUUUUUCUGUAAAGCAAAUUUACCUAUGGGUAUAAAUAAAAUUACCUUACCUUAAAUGAGGUACAGCUGACUUCUGCUAGAAUCAUAAAAUAAAACCAGAAGUUUUUUCAAUGCAGUUUGUUUAAGAUGUGCGUGUACUUGCAGGCAGAUGUUGUUCUUUUGGUAACGUGCUCUGUAAGGUAGUAACAAAGAUCAAACUCAUGAAAAGCGUUAAAAUCUAGUGCUAGGUGAUGGCAGCUUUUGGCAGUUUUGCAACCUAAUCUCUUUUCUUAAUAGAGAAAAGGCUGAGCAAACAAUAUGGAAUAGACUGCAACAACUAACAGCCAUGAAGAAGAAACGAUUAAAGACCCACACGCCAAUGAAAAUUGGACUUUUAGGACAGUGAAGUGUCUGACACUGACCAUGUACCAGUGCCUGAGAACACUGGUAUGGAGGGGGAGAACGCACCUCUUUACUGCAUUUGUCGGAAACCAGACAUCAACUGCUUCAUGAUCCUUUGCCAUGAUAAAUUGGUCAGUUUACAACCAGGAGCCGUACACCUUAACCUCAGAGGCCAGGACAUCCAGGGGCAGUGUGAACACACACUUCUUUAAAUGGGAUGCAGGACUGACUAUAGAGGGCCACCCCCUCGCCAGACAACCAAGUGCUGUCCCUGUGCACGGCCAGUGUGAGAAGGACUCUCACUAAAGUCAACCCACACAAAGCUGCUGGACCAGACAAUAUACCCGGACGUGUGCUCGGAGCCUGUGCUGACCAGCUGACUGAUGUCCUAGCGGGCAUCUUUAACAUCUCCCUGAGUCAAGCUGUUGUGCCAAGUGCUUUAAAACCACCACCAUCUUACCUGUACCAAAGACAGCUACAGCCUCGCAGUUCGAAGACAAUGGACGAUGCGAUCUCAUUGGCACUCCACCUAGCCCUAUCACAACUGGAUCAAUGCAACGUCCACCUAAGAAUGCUGUUCACUGAUUUCAUCUUAGCAUUCAACACCAUCAUUGCCCAGCAGCUGAUCGGCAAGCUGGACCUGCUCAGACUUAACACCUCCACCUGCAACAGGAUCCUGGUCUUUCUUACUGAUGGACCCCAGACAGUACAGGUUGGAAACAUAAGAUCCAACACCAUCACACUGAGCACAGCCCCCCCCCCAGGGAUGUGUGCUGAGCCCGCUACUCUUCACGCUGCUGACCCACGACUGCACCUCCAGCUCCAACAUGUGAUGAGUCAAUGUUGUGAUUGUUUGUGAUUUAUGGUCCCCCUCUCUCCUAGCCUCCACCACCCAACAAACAGUCUGUGCUUCCAAGUGUUACUUAGUGUCU
Molecule: long non-coding RNA, 1495 nt
Organism: Oreochromis aureus
Lineage: Eukaryota; Metazoa; Chordata; Actinopteri; Cichliformes; Cichlidae
Source: Ensembl